Long non-coding RNA from Daktulosphaira vitifoliae (grape phylloxera), 278 nucleotides. RefSeq lists it as uncharacterized. The transcript has 2 exons. The record is from RefSeq and is a predicted model, not a curated record. NCBI's taxonomy places the organism in Eukaryota, Metazoa, Arthropoda, Insecta, Hemiptera, Phylloxeridae.
GUUUUUUAAUAGUAUUUCAAUCCUAAAAAAUAUUUAUAUUAUUUAUUAUACAAUAAGAAAUCUUUUUAAACUCUUUAGGAUAUAAUGAAAUUAUAAUUCAAAUAUAAAAGAAACAGACAAUUAGACACAAGAAAAUGACAAACAUAUAAUACAAAGAGUAAAAGGUGAAAGUAAAAAUAGUUAACAAGAUAUAAUUUAACGAGAUCAUGUGAAUUGUACAAAUAUUGUAUAAUAAGUUAAAAACUACUCCAUAUUUUCGUAAAACUUUAUCAAUAAUA